GAUUUCUGGUUGUGCGUACUUGGCCCGUCUCGGUUUACGGGAUUGUGUGCCGGUGUAUGCCAUCCAUCCUUCGAUGCGGAUAGUUCUACCCUUUACUGGGUUGGGAUUAUUUUCUCGAUCUUUUACUUUGAAAAAAUUAGAGUGUUUAAAGCAGACUUGCGCUAUGAAUACAUUAGCAUGGAAUAAUAAUUUAGGACUUUGGUCUUAUUUUGUUGGUUUCUAGGACUAAAGUAAUGAUUGAUAGGGACAGUUGGGGGUGCUAGUAUUCAGCGGCCAGAGGUGAAAUUCUUGGAUUCGCUGAAGACUAACUUAUGCGAAAGCAUU
This 324-nucleotide ribosomal RNA is filed under the name uncultured cercomonad. Its description in RNAcentral is "SSU rRNA". It matches the Rfam family "Eukaryotic small subunit ribosomal RNA", at positions 626 to 955 of the family's 1831-position model. Lineage: Eukaryota; Cercozoa; Cercomonadida; Cercomonadidae. The record is from RNAcentral.